Molecule: ribosomal RNA, 387 nt
Filed under: uncultured Methylobacterium sp.
Lineage: Bacteria; Pseudomonadati; Pseudomonadota; Alphaproteobacteria; Hyphomicrobiales; Methylobacteriaceae
Description: bacterial SSU rRNA
Rfam family: Bacterial small subunit ribosomal RNA
Source: RNAcentral
AACGCGAAGAACCUUACCAUCCUUUGACAUGGCGUGUUACCCAGAGAGAUUUGGGGUCCCCUUCGGGGGCGCGCACACAGGUGCUGCAUGGCUGUCGUCAGCUCGUGUCGUGAGAUGUUGGGUUAAGUCCCGCAACGAGCGCAACCCACGUCCUUAGUUGCCAUCAUUCAGUUGGGCACUCUAGGGAGACUGCCGGUGAUAAGCCGCGAGGAAGGUGUGGAUGACGUCAAGUCCUCAUGGCCCUUACGGGAUGGGCUACACACGUGCUACAAUGGCGGUGACAGUGGGACGCGAAGGAGCGAUCUGGAGCAGAUCCCAAAAAGCCGUCUCAGUUCGGAUUGCACUCUGCAACUCGAGUGCAUGAAGGCGGAAUCGCUAGUAAUCGUG